CCCUUAGAGUUUGAUCCUGGCUCAGGACGAACGCUGGCGGCGUGCCUAACACAUGCAAGUCGAACGGGACCGGGGGCAACUUCGGUUCAGUGGCGGACGGGUGCGUAACACGUGAGGAACAUGACCUUCGGCGGGGGAUAGCCGGCCCAACGGCCGGGUAAUACCGCGUACGACCUUUCGGGGACAUCCCUGGAUGGUGAAAGCAGCAAUGCGCCGAUGGAGUGCCUCGCGGCCUAUCAGCUAGUUGGUGGGGUAACGGCUCACCAAGGCAACGACGGGUAGCUGGUCUGAGAGGAUGGCCAGCCACAUUGGGACUGAGACACGGCCCAGACUCCUACGGGAGGCAGCAGUGGGGAAUAUUGCGCAAUGGACGAAAGUCUGACGCAGCGACGCCGCGUGUGGGAUGACGGUCUUCGGAUUGUAAACCACUGUCGGGAGGGACGAAUACGCCGCAAGGCGGGUGACGGUACCUCCAAAGGAAGCACCGGCUAACUCCGUGCCAGCAGCCGCGGUAAUACGGAGGGUGCGAGCGUUGUCCGGAAUCACUGGGCGUAAAGGGCGCGUAGGCGGCCUGAUAAGUAGGGGGUGAAAUCCUGCGGCUUAACCGCAGGGCUGCCUUCUAAACUGUCAGGCUGGAGCACAGUAGAGGCAGGUGGAAUUCCCGGUGUAGCGGUGGAAUGCGUAGAGAUCGGGAAGAACAUCAGUGGCGAAGCGGCCUGCUGGGCUGUUGCUGACGCUGAGCGCGACAGCGUGGGAGC
Molecule: ribosomal RNA, 758 nt
Filed under: uncultured bacterium
Lineage: Bacteria
Description: bacterial SSU rRNA
Rfam family: Bacterial small subunit ribosomal RNA
Source: RNAcentral